Molecule: ribosomal RNA, 495 nt
Filed under: Clostridioides difficile
Lineage: Bacteria; Bacillati; Bacillota; Clostridia; Peptostreptococcales; Peptostreptococcaceae
Description: partial 23S ribosomal RNA
Rfam family: Bacterial large subunit ribosomal RNA
Source: RNAcentral
AGGCCGUAAACCCAAGGUUUCCAGGGGAAGGUUCGUCCGCCCUGGGUUAGUCGGGACCUAAGCUGAGGCCGAAAGGCGUAGGUGAUGGACAACAGGUUGAUAUUCCUGUACUACCGAUAACCGUUUGAGAGAAGGGAUGACACAGUAGGAUAAGCUAAGCACACUGUUGGUUAUGUGUGCCCAAGCAUUGAGGCAGUCAAAGUAGGCAAAUCCGCUUUGAUAAUGCUGGGAUGUGAUGGGGAGCGAAAUUUAGUAGCGAAGUAGCUGAUUUCACACUGUCAAGAAAAGUCUCUAUCGAGGUUAAAGGUACCCGUACCGCAAACCGACACAGGUGGGUGAGGAGAGUAUCCUAAGGCCAGCGAGAGAACUGUUGUUAAGGAACUCGGCAAAAUGACCCCGUAACUUAGGGAUAAGGGGUGCCACCAUCAGGUGGCCGCAGAGAAUAGGCCCAAGCGACUGUUUACCAAAAACAUAGGUUUCUGCUAAGUCGCAAGA